CUGUAGGAUCUGUGGCCCCUGUGGUCGCAGAACCGAACCCUUCUACCCUUGUCUAUGAGCACCUCUCGUUUCCUCGGCGGGUUCGCCCGCCAGAGGACCUUACUUAAAACUCUUUUGCCAUCCUUGCAGUACUGUCUGAUAGCGAAAGCAAUAUAAAUCA
Molecule: unclassified non-coding RNA, 160 nt
Filed under: uncultured fungus
Lineage: Eukaryota; Fungi
Description: sequence contains ITS1, 5.8S rRNA gene
Source: RNAcentral